Molecule: small nucleolar RNA, 87 nt
Filed under: Corchorus capsularis
Lineage: Eukaryota; Viridiplantae; Streptophyta; Magnoliopsida; Malvales; Malvaceae
Description: snoRNA snoR114
Rfam family: small nucleolar RNA snoR114
Source: Rfam by way of RNAcentral
AAGCUAUGAAGUAAUCGCGCUCUUGUGAUGGCUAGGGUCUAUCACGUGCUUCUGAUCUAUUGAUUAGAAAAUUGCGCUUCUGAGCUC